UGUUUUUUAUUUUAAUAAAGAAUUUUUGUUUUAUAAAUUGUUUUAUAAAUUAAAAAUAUUAUCAGAUCUCUUAGCGCUAAUUUACUGUAGUAAAAAUAAUAAAUUAUUUUUAAAAAUAAAGUUUAAAAAAGAAUGAAUAAAGUAGUAUGUUUUUAAGAUUGAAUCAAGAAAAUCAUCUGAAUUCAUUUUAAAGGAUUUUAUAAAAAAAAUAGAUAAAUUUAACAAAUAUUAAUUCUUCAAAAAAAAAUAA
This 250-nucleotide transfer RNA is filed under the name Pneumocystis jirovecii. RNAcentral's name for it is "tRNA-Pseudo(TAT)". The record is from RNAcentral. Lineage: Eukaryota; Fungi; Ascomycota; Pneumocystomycetes; Pneumocystales; Pneumocystaceae.